UAGGGAAUCUUCCGCAAUGGCCGCAAGUCUGACGGAGCAACGCCGCGUGAGUGAAGAAGGAUUUCGGUUCGUAAAACUCUGUUGUUAGAGAAGAACAGCGCAUAGAGUAACUGUUAUGCGUGUGACGGUAUCUAACCAGAAAGCCACGGCUAACUACGUGCCAGCAGCCGCGGUAAUACGUAGGUGGCAAGCGUUGUCCGGAUUUAUUGGGCGUAAAGCGAGCGCAGGCGGUCAAUUAAGUCUGAUGUGAAAGCCCCCGGCUCAACCGGGGAGGGUCAUUGGAAACUGGUUGACUUGAGUGCAGAAGAGGAGAGGGGAAUUCCAUGUGUAGCGGUGAAAUGCGUAGAUAUAUGGAGGAACACCAGUGGCGAAGGCGACUCUCUGGUCUGUAACUGACGCUGAGGCUCGAAAGCGUGGGUAGCAAACAGG
RNAcentral lists this ribosomal RNA (429 nucleotides) under Bacteroidota bacterium. RNAcentral's name for it is "Bacteroidetes bacterium partial 16S ribosomal RNA". It matches the Rfam family "Bacterial small subunit ribosomal RNA", at positions 355 to 776 of the family's 1533-position model. The record is from RNAcentral. Lineage: Bacteria; Pseudomonadati; Bacteroidota.